Non-coding RNA from Salmo salar (Atlantic salmon), 54 nucleotides. NCBI's taxonomy places the organism in Eukaryota, Metazoa, Chordata, Actinopteri, Salmoniformes, Salmonidae. The record is from Rfam.
UUCACUACUUACUGUAAGUCGCUCUGGAUAAGAGCGUCAGCUAAAUGACUAAAA